Molecule: ribosomal RNA, 263 nt
Filed under: uncultured archaeon
Lineage: Archaea
Description: partial 16S ribosomal RNA
Rfam family: Archaeal small subunit ribosomal RNA
Source: RNAcentral
AGACGUCUACAUUAGAUACCCCGGUAGUCCCAGCCGUAAACUAUGCGCGUUAGGUGUAUCGGUGACCACGAGUUACCGAGGUGCCGAAGGGAAACCGUGAAACGUGCCGCCUGGGAAGUACGGUCGCAAGGCUGAAACUUAAGGAAUUGGCGGGGAGCACCACAACGGGUGGAGCCUGCGGUUUAAUUGGACUCAACGCCGGAAAUCUCACCGGAUAAGACAGCAGAAUGAUUGCCGGGCUGAAGACUCUGCAUGACUAGCUG